CCUACGGGAGGCAGCAGUGAGGAAUAUUGGUCAAUGGACGCAAGUCUGAACCAGCCAAGCCGCGUGCAGGAAGACGGCUCUAUGAGUUGUAAACUGCUUUUGUACGAGGGUAAACGCAGAUACGUGUACCCGUCUGAAAGUACCGUACGAAUAAGGAUCGGCUAACUCCGUGCCAGCAGCCGCGGUAAUACGGAGGGUUCAAGCGUUAUCCGGAAUUAUUGGGUUUAAAGGGUGCGUAGGCGGUCGGUUAAGUUAGGGGUGAAAUCCCGCGGCUCAACUUCGGAAUUGCCGCUGAUACUGUUCGGCUAGAGUGUAGUUGCGGUAGGCGGAAUGUGUGGUGUAGCGGUGAAAUGCUUAGAUAUCAUACAGAACACCGAUUGCGAAGGCAGCUUACCAGGCUACUUCUGACGUUGAGGCACGAAAGCGUGGGGAGCAAACAGGAUUAGAUACCCGAGUAGUC
Molecule: ribosomal RNA, 460 nt
Filed under: uncultured bacterium
Lineage: Bacteria
Description: partial 16S ribosomal RNA
Rfam family: Bacterial small subunit ribosomal RNA
Source: RNAcentral